RNAcentral lists this ribosomal RNA (460 nucleotides) under uncultured bacterium. RNAcentral describes it as "partial 16S ribosomal RNA". It matches the Rfam family "Bacterial small subunit ribosomal RNA", at positions 338 to 795 of the family's 1533-position model. The record is from RNAcentral.
CCUACGGGAGGCAGCAGUGAGGAAUAUUGGUCAAUGGACGAGAGUCUGAACCAGCCAAGUAGCGUGAAGGAUGACUGCCCUAUGGGUUGUAAACUUCUUUUAUAUGGGAAUAAAACGUUCCACGUGUGGGAUUUUGUAUGUACCAUAUGAAUAAGGAUCGGCUAACUCCGUGCCAGCAGCCGCGGUAAUACGGAGGAUCCGAGCGUUAUCCGGAUUUAUUGGGUUUAAAGGGAGCGUAGGUGGAUUGUUAAGUCAGUUGUGAAAGUUUGCGGCUCAACCGUAAAAUUGCAGUUGAAACUGGCAGUCUUGAGUACAGUAGAGGUGGGCGGAAUUCGUGGUGUAGCGGUGAAAUGCUUAGAUAUCACGAAGAACUCCGAUUGCGAAGACAGUUCACUGGACUGCAACUGACACUGAGGCUUGAAAGUGUGGGUAUCAAACAGGAUUAGAUACCCGGGUAGUC